CGGUCAGGUGAAAUACCGCUACCGCACUUCCUGCUUCCUCAGGCGUCCUCAGCGUGGCGGUCACGGACACCUCCAUUGUGCCACCUCCUCCCCUACAGUGGCUCCACCUUGAAACCCUCUGCAGCCAGCGCCGGCCCGACACAUACACGCUGCGGGCUACGGCGUCCACGUAGAGCGCCAGACAGGAUCAGCUCACUGUAUCGAGCGCUGCCACUGGGGAGCUAUGUAAGUGUCCAGGGGAGUGUACGCGGCGGGCUGUCAGCGGGGAGGGAGAGAUAAUUGCCAGCUCGAAGCUGCUGCUCCCGCACUGUCAGCCCUCCUACCUAUCCUGCUGCCGCUACCCCCGGGCAGAGUGACACUGUGCAGGGCUGACAGCCUCCUACCUACCCUGCUGCUGCUCCCAGACAGAGGGAGUGUGAGCACUGAGAUAGCUGCUGGUGCUGCAGUUAUCUAUCUAUAUAAAUCUGGCUGCAUAGGACGGGGCAAAUGUUUUUAAUGCAUAAAUAAAUUAAUAAUUAAUAAGUGACCCCAUACCCACUGUUUAUGCUCCCCAGCGGCAGAGGUCACUGCAGGGAGCUGAUCCGGUCAGGUGCUCCAGAAACUUGUCCAUUCCGGGUUUCACCAAAUCCCUGCCGCUGCUGACAGUGAGUGAAUCACCGUCACUCGCUGUACAGCGCCACUGCCGCCCGCCUUGGAUACAGGCUGCUCUCUCUCCCAUCGCCUCUGGAUUCUAAUGGCAUUCUUUUGACCACAACGAUUUCUGGAGUGUGGGGUGACACUUCUUUGUCCAUUUCCUGAAAUCAGAGGCAGCCAUUAUUGGCGCACGCAUGAAUCAAUAAGCAGACACGGCUGACUUGAUUCAAGUCAUUAGACAGGUAUACAUUCUGGAUCGCGGAGAGGGGGAGUAUCCGUCUUGAGGAAGUCUCCGUUUCGCGUUGACGCCCACUCUCUGUUAUUCGGCUCCCCAUUUGGUGUUACCCGCUAAACCAGCACAGUUCACAGCUUUUCAUAGCUACAACUCAUUGCCGCAUGAUAUCUCUGCUACUUGCCGGGUGAACUCCGCCUGACCUCCGCUGUGAGGUCUAACAUCAGUCAUUAAGAGAAAGGUCUCCGGCGGCCACACUCACCGCCAGUGACCAGCGCUCACUACACUUUCAGAGAGGUGCAUCAUCUUUCAAUAAAGCGGCAUACAUUCAGUGCUACUUAAACAGUUAUAUGACGAUUUAUUUCUACACCACGUGUAUUUCAUCAUCAUAAAGGACCCUGACUGCAUCUUAUUACAGGAACCAGCACGUGGGUAACUAUUACAGGUUGCACCUUUCUACUGUUGCACAAAAUGAGACUGUGAUUAUUCAUGGCGGGAUAUUUAUACGCUAACACACUGGGACGCCAGUGUUCUGACUCUUAUUGCCACCAUCUGAAAGAGCCUAUAUUAAUCAGUUUUAAUUGCAUGUUACAUGUUACUUAUUACCCUACUAACCACAGCUCCUGUGUUAGAAUGAGCAAUUUGCUAUUAACUGCAUGUUGAAUGUGUGUUAUAUAUGUUGUUCUUAACAGAUAUUAUAUAAAUUGAUUUAUUUAUAUUC
Pseudophryne corroboree (corroboree frog) is the source of this 1586-nucleotide long non-coding RNA. RefSeq lists it as uncharacterized. The record is from RefSeq and is a predicted model, not a curated record. The transcript is spliced from 3 exons. Lineage: Eukaryota; Metazoa; Chordata; Amphibia; Anura; Myobatrachidae.